UUUUUUUUUCGCUCGGCGACCAAUCCUUGCUGUUAUCUUCACAGCUUGAGGUUCAUAACUGAAGUUAAUUGGACUAUUCCUGUUCACUCAUGUUCUCAGUUUCUCCUGUGGCUGUUGUACACUCAAACUGAGGUCUGUCAUUUCGCAAUUGCUGAUGAGAAGAAGGUGAAAUUUGGCACAAAAUGUAUUUACUUGACUUCUUAGCUGGGUGGGUUGCAGCCAGGUAUAUGAACAAAUAAUCUCUGGUCUCACAGCAAGAAGCAGUUGUGCAAAAGACUUGAACGCACAGCCCUCCCUCAGAUCCAGCUUAAACUAUUGGGUCAGGUACGUGGACAAUACUUUUGUGAUCAUUAAAUGAACAACGUUAGAAGAAACAAACCACCUUAUUAACAGCAUAUUCACCAGGAUCAAGUUUACCAGGGGAGGGGGAACAACAAUCAAGUCCUGUUUCUAAACGUAAAUGGUGGAGCAAACGACCAAUGGUAAAUUCCUUCACGGUGUAUAUAGAAAGACCACACACAGACCAUAUCUUGAAUUACAAUCGUAACCACUCCAACAUCUACGAACAGAGCUGUGUCAAGGUGUCCUUUUAAAUGAGUGAUAACGCCCUGGAGCUAUGCAAAAAUGAAGAACAUUUAUGCAAAGUCUUCGCAAACAAUUGGUGUCCCAACAGCUUCAUUCGCCAAUGCCUGGCAAAUAAACGAUACCAAGAAGAUACUUGGUAUGCCCCAACACACUGGCCACCCUAUCCUAUAUUAGAAACAAUUCAGAACUGACUACAAAACUCCUUUGACCUCUUGGAAUAAUAGCACACAAACCAACAGCCACACUUUGCUAGCUACUCUCAAAGACGAAAGACCCCGUACCACGAUAAGUAGGAUAAAAUACCAUGCAGCAAUGUGAGAAACAAUACAUAGGACAGAGGGGCAGGAAAUUUGCCACCAGGAUACAUGAACACCAACUCGUGUGAAAACGAGUAAGUUUGACAAACCAACCACAAGCUGAGCUAGAUCUUCGUUAAAACAUUAAAUCCCUGAAAUAUCUCCACUGAUUAACAGUGACCAAUUCAUAAUAUUAAAAAUAGGGACAGGAAUGGGCCAUUAGCUCUUCAGGUCUGCUGGUCAUUCAACAAGAUCCUGGUGAAAUUGCCGCAGGCCUCCACUUUUUUUAAUAUAUCAUUAUCCUCCGUCAACUCUCUGAUAUUUCAAAAAUCGACCUACCUCGUCUUUAAAUAUUUUCAGUGAUUUACCUCCAAAACACACUCUGGGGUAGAGAAUUCCAGAUAUUCAUUACAUUCAUGGAACAGAAAUUCCUUUGCAUCUCAGUUUUAAAUGAUGUCCCCUUAUUCGAUAACUAUGUCCCCCUAGUUUGAAAUUCCAUGACUAGUGAAAACAUCUUCUCAAUAUCAACUCUGUCAAGCCUCCUUUGAAUCUUUUGCAUAUUUCAAUAAGAUCACCUCCUCCUUCUAAACUCCAAUAAAUAAAAUUCUAACCUGGUUAGCCAUUCUUGAUAAGUCAGUCUCUUUAUCCUAAGAGUCAACCGAGUGAAUCUCUUUUGAACAGCCUCUAAUGCCAGCACAUACUUUCUUAACUACAGAGAGACCAAAGGUGUACACAGUAUUCCAGGUGUAGCCUCAUUAAUACGCUGUACGGUUAUAACAAGGCUUCCCCACUUUUAAACUCCACAAGCCUCAGCCAACAAUAAAGAAUACAUUACAUUUUGCCCCCUCAUCCAAGUCAUUAAUAUAGAUGGUAAGUAACUAAGGCCCUAGAACUGGACCUAGCAGCGCUCUGUGAGUUAGAUUUUUCCAACCCAAAGGACACCUAUUAAUUCUGACUGUCCAUCAUGCAUUAACAAAUCCUCAAUCCAAACUAAUAUAUUACCGCAAUAUCAUGAGCUUCCAUCUUGUCUAAUGACCCUCUGUGGCACUUUAUCAAUUGCCUUCUGGAAAUCUAACUACACUAUAUCUGCAAAUUUUCUCUAUCGUCUCUGCUUGUUAUAUCCUCAAAGAACGGUAGCAAAUUUGUCAAAUGUGACUGCCUUGUCAUAAACCAUGGGAUAAGACUGACUUAGGAAGACAAGGAUAUUCUUCUGAAAAUGCAGAGGCAAAGCUAGGGCAACAAAAUGCACGUGUGCACAGAAACGUCCAACUCAUCUAACUGACCACCCAAGCAACGCCUAUCCUUCGGAUGGGAAAUCACUCCUCAGACUUAACAGCCAACUCUGUAUCUACCAAACUGGAGUGGAAGCAAAUCACCUUGAACCUGAAGGCCUUCUUAAAAAGCGACUGCUGGGAAGGCAAUGCACUGGACUCCACUUAAUAGCAAGUCCUGCUUCACCAAGAUGUGGCUGGUUUUAAAGUAAAUUGAAUGACAAGGCUGAAGAUGUAAAAGCAAGAAGAAAAUUCAAGAAAGCAAGCAACCUCAUUGAUUACAGACUAUCAACUGACUGAUAUUGAAUAUGAGUCUUGGAUUUAAAAUAAAAUGAUACCUUAGCCUGUUAUUUUCUUUCUCUUUUCCACAUCUCUCUUACCAAUUACCAACUUCAGCCCAUUUCAUAAUGUCUCUCGCUCUCACUCUGGAUUGCCAAUCAUUACUGUAACUAAGUUGCAUUAUCCUUGACUGUUGGACCUGAUACCAUUUCUGUUCUGCCUUUGAAAUAUUAUGUACAUGGAAUUUUCAUUGCCCAGUCUUGGCUGCCUCAUAACUGUCUCUGUAAUGAAAGUGGACCUAAAUAAUUUUUUUAUUUGUGCUGUUAAUUCAUCUGACGUACUGUGAAUGAUUUUCACAUUCAGUUAGAGAUGUUUUUCUUAAAAUACCUAGUAUUUGCUUGGUCCUUUAUUUGUACAUGGACUCUGUUAAACUAUCUUCCCCUUUCUAUGUCCUUGUCUUUAUCCAAAAUCUCUACACAGUUCUAUGUCCUCCUUUUCCUAUUUUCUUCUCGCUUUACCUGAAACCUCUUCUGUUUUAAAGCCUAUCCAUGUUGACCUUCUGAAAUUGGUGGACACCAGAAUGAAUAGCAUCCAUAGGCAUGGGUAGCAAUAUUAUGGUUUACCUUUGUUUUUCUUUUAAAAGUAUAUUUUGUGUUGCAUUAUUAGUUGUGGCUUUGGAAAGAGAGUGAGUAAAUUUGGCUUUUCUGGUGAUGACUCUGGGAAACCCAGAGUAAUCUUUUUGCUUGAAAAAAGCUGAUGGGCAUUAUAUAAAUUAGAUUUUUUUUCUUUCUGAUUGAUUAAAUGGAUUUUUAUUUUUGAAAAAAUAAGGGGCUUGCAAAUUGCUCUACUUUUGUAGGGGUAUUAAAUGGCGAAAGAUAGUGGAAUCGGUUGACUGUUUGACUGUGAUGAGAGAUUACUUGUUGAAAGCUUUUGUGGAUCUUUGGAAUUCUCUACCAGAGUGACCUGUAGAUGUUCACUUGUUGACAUAUUCAAGUGCAAGAUUUACAAAUGUUACUAAGGGCAUCAAGAUGAUAGGGGUAGAAGAUCAGCUUUGACUUCAUUAAACAUAGAACAGGUUUAAGUGUAUGAAUUUCAUACCACUCCUCUUGGUUUGUGCAUUCUGAGAGGUUUAAGGAGGAAACUCCAGAGUUUAAAGUUAUAGCUCAUGGCAUUCCACUUAAAGUUGGGUGUGGCAAAAUUAAAGGAUGGCAAUAUCUUAGAGGAUAUUGCUGAGGUAGAGGAAAAAACAAAGCCAUUGACUGUUUUAAAAACAACAUCAACUAUAUUUAUACAGUGCCUUUAACAUAAUAAGCAUCUUCAGGUACUUCAUAAACUACUUUUCUUAAAAAGAGACAUUAAUCACGGAAAUGACAGCAGAUGACUAUGCAUUUUGGAGGAGGAGGAAAGCGAGCAAUCCUAAAUGUUUUGGGAAGGAAUUCCGGAUCUUACAGUCCAGGCAACUGAGAAUAAAGGCGCCAACAAUGGGGCAACUAAAAGUGGGGUGCUCAGGAGGCCAGACUCAGAUGAGGGCAUGGAGGGCUGAGGAGUUGGGGCUGAUCUGAGAUGAGUGAGAGGGUGGGAGUUUGCAAGGCUAUGCAUGCUCUUGGACAAACGAAAAUUUUAAAAUCGUGCUGUAUAAAGUGCCAUAAUAUCAGAAGCCAGUAUGGUCAACACAGCAGGGGAAAGGAUGUUCAGGAUUUACUGAAGAUAAGGACAGCAGCAGAAUUUUAGAUGACAUCAAGUUUUACAAAGGGUAGAAUGCAAUAGGCUGGCUAGGAGUAUGCAAAAUGGUCAAAGCUAGAGAUAACAUUGGAUGAGGUUUUUGCCAACAAAUGACUUGAGAUUGGGCAGAGACAGGCAACUUACAAAGAUGCAGGCAGGUGAUCUCCAUGACGGUGUGGAUACAUGGUUGGAUGUUCGUUUUGGGGUCAAGUUUGGCACCAAGCUUACAAAUAGUCUGGUUAAAAUCAGCCAGUUUCCAGGGAGAGGAGUGGAGCGAGUAGGUAAUGGAAAUUAUCACGGAUUUCAAAUUCCUAAUUAUAAAGCUGAAGGAAGCUUCUGCUCAUUCAAAGUACUGGCAAUACUAACUAUUUGACAACUUAGUUGUGUGACAUCAACAUAUGUGCAGAAAUGAGCAAUUUUUUUGAUGCCAAGUGGCAGCAAAAAGGCAAAUAGGAGCGGGUCCACAAUAAAGCUGGGGGAGCCAGAGGUGAUGGUGCAGGAGUGGAAAGUGAAACCAUCGUUGUGAUUCUCUGACUAUGAAUGGAUCAUGUGACUGCAGUCCCACACAACUGAAUGAGGUGGAUAGAAAUGUGAGAAAUCUGAAGGGCAAAUUCAGACUUGAACAGUGGUGCUUUGUGCCUGAGGCUAGAGAUGUGAGGAGAUAAUGGAGCUUUUAAGCCUUUAAAAAGAGGUUUGCUGAGAGAUGUUCUUGUAUUAGUAUAUGAUGAGUUAAAUUAAAAUGUAAAUAUAAAUUUAGUAAUUUUUAAAUUUUAAAUAAGAGUAGGACAAAGGACAUGGUUUCAAAUUAGAAAAUGUCCUAUUUAGCACAAAUGUCUGCUUGGAAUGGGUCCUUGAUGGACUAAAGAAGUGAAACCUGUGGAAUAAUGUAUGAAACAAUUGAUCAUCUAAUUCUAGCAGGUGGAUUUUAGCUGAAUCAAUAAAAUGAUCCUAAGAUGGGAAAAUUGGCCAAUCUUGACGUUGAAUCAUUCCUGAUGGAUUCCUAACCCUUUGGUUCAAAUAACGUCCUAGGGACUUGUUACAAAUGUGCACUACUGUCACUUUUGUGCACAAGUAUUCAUUUUGUUUCCUGUCUUUAGGUUGAGAGUUUUUGUUUUUGUUUAAGGUAACAAUUAUUUGUCAGAUACUGACAAUUCCAGGGGCAACCAGGGAUUCUAAAUAAAUAAGCACAAAUACUAACGUAAAGUAAUAGUUCGUCAUUUUUGUGCACCUUUUCACAGUGCCUUUUAAAUUCUUUUAUGCAUAAUUUCACAGUAAAGGACACAACAUAGAAUCAUAGAAUCACAGAAUCCCUACAGUGUGGGAGCAGGUCAUUCAGCCCAUCAAGUCCACACUGACACUCUGAAGGGCAUCCCACUUGAUCCCUCUAAUCCUGCCUUUCCCCACAGCUCAUCCACCCAGAUUUCACAUCCCUGAAAACUACGGGGAAAUUUAGCUUAGCCAGUCCACUUAACCUACUCAUCUUUGGAUUGUGGGAGGAAACUCGAACACUCUGAGGAAACCCACAAGAUACAGGGAGAAUGUGUUUAAAAAAAUUCCACCUUACAGUUCUGUGGAGAGGCCUGUGUGAUGUAUAAAUGUGACAAGAGUGGAUAUAAUAGGGGUGGCACGGUGGCUCAGUGGUUAGCACUGCAGCCUCACAGCACCAGGGACCUGGGUUCAAUUCCAGCCUCGGGCAACUGUCUUGUGUGGAGUUUGCACAUUCUCCCCGUGUAUGCAUGGGUUUCCACCGGGUGCUCCGGUUUCCUCCCACAGUCCAAAGAUGUGCGGGCUAGGUGGAUCGGCCAGCUAAAUUGCCCGUAAUGUUCAAAGAUGUGUGGGUUAUAGGGGGACAGUUCUGGGUGGGAUACUUCAAGGGGCAAUGUGGACUUGUUGGGCCGAAGGGCCUGUUUCCACACUGUAGGGAAUCUAAUCUAAUAAUUACUACAAGACUGCAUCACGUAAUAAAUGAGUUACUGAAAAUGGAAAAUGUGCCUCAUGAAAAUGUUCAGAAAAUGUUCAAAAAUGUCCUUAAAAAUCUUUCAGCAUUCUAAAACAAAACGACCAUUGUGGCUUGAUAAGUGUGAGAGGUGGAAUUCUGCAACAGAAAGUAGCUACUUUGCCAGUAUGCUAACUGGCUGGAUAUUGAUGCUGCUUUGUGACCUGUUUCCAAAAACACCAGUAGACUUAGCACAGUACAUUACCACACGAACUGAGGGCAACUAAAAGUGACUAGUGGAAAUUCUGGAAAAUGACAGCAUCUUUUUCAGUGCUGCUUUCUUUCCUGACCUCAUCUGAAAAUAAGUUGGGUGUAGAAUCAUCGACUCCACUGCUCGAUGAAACGCACAAGCCAAUUUGACAAAACUGGGAUCUGUCAUUAAAAUUUGUCUUUGCUUUUUCAGACAUUCCUGAAAAGAUCAUGAUUUUCAGGUUCUUACGCCCCAAGAGUGGAGGGGUACAAUACAUUGGUAUUAAUCAUGGGACGUAUUUACAAUUGUUUCUGCAGGUUUCCUACCCCAAAAACAGGCUAACUGAUUAAAUUAUUGCUGCUUGGUGGGAAAACUAACACAAGCUGGUGGUCAAUGCUUAGAUAUGCCUUA
Stegostoma tigrinum is the source of this 6750-nucleotide RNA transcript. It is a transcript of the gene named solute carrier family 25 member 47b, with no coding region annotated. The transcript has 3 exons. The record is from RefSeq and is a predicted model, not a curated record. Lineage: Eukaryota; Metazoa; Chordata; Chondrichthyes; Orectolobiformes; Stegostomatidae.